This is a long non-coding RNA of Cyprinus carpio carpio, 1123 nucleotides long. The record is from Ensembl. Lineage: Eukaryota; Metazoa; Chordata; Actinopteri; Cypriniformes; Cyprinidae.
UGCGUUCUUUGCGUUCUUGGAAUUGAGAAACAGCCAUUAUUUUCGAGGAACGGGAACGUUAGCUAGCUGAAGUUUCCGCUAACUUUCUAGCGGUAAAAUGGUCACAUCGUGUUGACAAUGACAUUAGCUAGCUUCACCAGCAACCCUAAUAGACAUUAAUACUGGUAACUAUGUCGAAAAGAAAGCACAACGUUACUGCUAACACGAAAGAAAAGGUUUGGUUGAGAGAAAAUGUUCCUAUACGUACUUUGACAAGAUGGAAAAAAAGGUUUGUACUAAAUUACACCUGUUUCCUAAUCCAGCUCGUAACUUCUGGUUAAAGGAGAACUCCGGUCAAUUUUAACAUUGAGCUAAUUUUUUUUGUACAUUUGGAGUGCUGUCAGUACAGAGAACAACGACAAAAAUCGGUGUUUCCUACACCGUGUUAUCUUCUUUUUAAAAUUUGCACCCUGUUGACUUCAAUGGGCACGUUUAAACCUGUAUUAAUAAAAUUGAUGAUAAUUCUGCCCGCGAAAAUACCUGAAAAACUUACUGUUUUCAGUCGAAGUCCACAGUAGUCAAUUGUUGAGUUCACCCGCGCGAUCACUGGUAACUAAGCAAUUCAAGAGAACGCGCCUGAACUCGACAAUCGACUACUGUGGACUUCGACCGAAAACAGGAAGUUUUUCAGGAAAAUCAACAGAACUUUGACUGACAUCGAAAAACAUACUGCGCAACAACAUGAAAGUGAUGAAGAUGUCCAAAGAGAAGAGCAGAGUGGAGAACCUUUCACAUUGGAGCAGGUGAGACAAAACUACAGUAUUCUGUCUCUCUAUUUAUAUGUAUCUCUCUCUAUCACUCUGUCAAUCUAUCUAUCUAACAAGUUGUUGAUUUGUAUCCUUCCUAGGAAAGUGAUGAAGAUUCCCAAAGAGAAGAGCAGAGAGCAGAACCUUUAACAUUGGAGCAGGUGAGACAAAACUACAGUAAACACAUUUAUGAAGUUAAUUACAUAAUUUGAUAAUGACAUUAAAUAAUCACGAGACAAACAAUGCUAUCACAAAAUGCACAGAUUAUCUCUGCAGCUCAUGGAAGUAAUAAUAAUAAUAGUAAUAAUAUCCAGGGCCACAACACUACUGGUGUAUUG